This 533-nucleotide long non-coding RNA is filed under the name Volvox carteri. RNAcentral describes it as "long non-coding RNA (VCAR_LNC000254)". Lineage: Eukaryota; Viridiplantae; Chlorophyta; Chlorophyceae; Chlamydomonadales; Volvocaceae. The record is from RNAcentral.
CAGCGUUGUUGACGAAGUCGACGGUGUCACCAGACUUAAUCGUGACGGUGGAUGGCUCGAACACCAGGGCACCAGAGUCAGCACCCAGCUUCACGGUGGCAGCGUGGGCCGACAGAGUCACAGCCAGCGAAGCGACCGAGACACCAGCAACGGAGGCCACGCGGCUAACAGCGGCCUUCAGCGAGGCAACCGGGCGAACGGCGCCGGCGCGGGAGGCGGGAGCACGCAGAGUAGCCUUCAUUUUUGAUGAUUUCGAUGAUACGCUGUCACCAGGUAUGAUUUCUGAAGUUUCACAUGGCAGUUUAUGGAGACGCAAGCGGUACGACGGAUGAGGAGAUUUCACAAGGCCCUGCAAACCACGACCUCAAACAUCGGCUGCGUGCAUUUUCCCUUGGAUGGCAUUUGUAAUUGUAUUCUACAAAGGGUCUUACCAAUCUUCUGUAACAUGUUGUCCAUUAUUUGUUCUUGUGCUGACUCAGGACUUGACGCCUUUCUCUACAAUGGCUUAAACAUCAAUACGUGCUUCUGUGGAC